Molecule: ribosomal RNA, 472 nt
Filed under: uncultured bacterium
Lineage: Bacteria
Description: partial 16S ribosomal RNA
Rfam family: Bacterial small subunit ribosomal RNA
Source: RNAcentral
UGGGGAAUUUUGGACAAUGGGCGAAAGCCUGAUCCAGCAAUGCCGCGUGUGUGAAGAAGGCCUUCGGGUUGUAAAGCACUUUUGUCCGGAAAGAAAUCCUUGGCUCUAAUACAGUCGGGGGAUGACGGUACCGGAAGAAUAAGCACCGGCUAACUACGCGCCAGCAGCCGCGGUAAUACGUAGGGUGCAAGCGUUAAUCGGAAUUACUGGGCGUAAAGCGUGCGCAGGCGGUUUGCUAAGACCGAUGUGAAAUCCCCGGGCUCAACCUGGGAACUGCAUUGGUGACUGGCAGGCUAGAGUAUGGCAGAGGGGGGUAGAAUUCCACGUGUAGCAGUGAAAUGCGUAGAGAUGUGAGGAAUACCGAUGGCGAAGGCAGCCCCCUGGGCCAAUACUGACGCUCAUGCACGAAAGCGUGGGGAGCAAAACAGGAUUAGAUACCCUGGUAGUCCACGCCCUAAAACGAUGUCAACUA